Mus musculus (house mouse) is the source of this 639-nucleotide long non-coding RNA. RefSeq annotates it as predicted gene, 33048. The transcript is spliced from 2 exons. NCBI's taxonomy places the organism in Eukaryota, Metazoa, Chordata, Mammalia, Rodentia, Muridae. The record is from RefSeq and is a predicted model, not a curated record.
AAUUUCAGAACAUAGCUGGUAGAAGAUCUUAAAAGGCCAGAGGGAUGGAGGGAGGUGGGGCAGAGGUGGAGGACAGAGAACAGAGAUCAUAUACAAAGGACUUGGACUCAGGUUUGGCUUUGUGUUCUUAAACAAGAAGACAAGGGCAACACUUUCAAAAUUCUGAAGGACAGUAAUCCCCUAGAGUUUUUUUUUUCUAGCUAAAUUAUCAAUCAUAUAUAACAGAAUAAAUCCAUCCAUCCAUAUGUGAGCAUUGCUCCUCAUGCAACAUUUCCUGAAGGCUGAGCCUUUUGGAUGAAGAACAAAUCAGAAGAGAGCCUGGAAACAAGAUGUCAGACGCAGAUAGUAGUAAAGCGAAUCCUCGGAGUGAAGAAAAGAGCAUCCGCGAUGACGCUAGAUGCUGGGUUCAGGCUCCCAGGAUUCCAGGUAUACAGAGGGAAAGGGGACGUCACAGCGAACAGCCUUUUCUCUCUGAACUGCAACCUGGCCAAACAUCUGAAGCCUGGCCCGUGCUCCCCAGUCACUACGUGUCUCAACGGUGCCCAGCCCUGUCUCUGAGCUUACUCACUGCCUUGCUCAACGCCUUUCCCAUAAAAGGCUCUAAUAAAUGCUGAGAAGCCCAAGCCAGACAACCACCCA